AACGAACGCUGGCGGCAUGCCUAACACAUGCAAGUCGAACGAGACCUUCGGGUCUAGUGGCGCACGGGUGCGUAACGCGUGGGAACCUGCCUUUAGGUUCGGAAUAACUCAGAGAAAUUUGAGCUAAUACCGGAUGAUGUCUUCGGACCAAAGAUUUAUCGCCUUUAGAUGGGCCCGCGUUGGAUUAGCUAGUUGGUGGGGUAAAGGCCUACCAAGGCGACGAUCCAUAGCUGGUCUGAGAGGAUGAUCAGCCACACUGGGACUGAGACACGGCCCAGACUCCUACGGGAGGCAGCAGUAGGGAAUAUUGGACAAUGGGCGAAAGCCUGAUCCAGCAAUGCCGCGUGAGUGAUGAAGGCCUUAGGGUUGUAAAGCUCUUUUACCCGAGAUGAUAAUGACAGUAUCGGGAGAAUAAGCUCCGGCUAACUCCGUG
This 433-nucleotide ribosomal RNA is filed under the name uncultured bacterium. RNAcentral's name for it is "partial 16S ribosomal RNA". It matches the Rfam family "Bacterial small subunit ribosomal RNA", at positions 29 to 507 of the family's 1533-position model. The record is from RNAcentral.